This 933-nucleotide long non-coding RNA is filed under the name Eptatretus burgeri (inshore hagfish). Its description in RNAcentral is "lncRNA (ENSEBUG00000017220.1)". The record is from RNAcentral. Lineage: Eukaryota; Metazoa; Chordata; Myxini; Myxiniformes; Myxinidae.
CUCAGCUUCCAAGCUCAAAGGAUGGCUGAGAUAUCGCCCGGACAAACAAACAGGAAAACGAAGUACUCUCUUCGGAGCCCAGCGAUGACGUCAUGGCUCAACCCGGAUAUACAAUUGGGAAGGAGCGGUGUACAAAAUACACUUUGCGUUUUCUUAUUUUGAUCUUGUGUUGAUGCAUUAGUGUGGUGUUGAUUGUGGCGCAGGCACGAUGAAUAGCCUCCACCUGUGAUGUGUGAUGAACCACAUCACACCUGUGAAUGGCCUCCACCUGUGAUGAACAACAACUGUCUGAAUAGCCUCCACCUGUGUCUAAUUUCCUUGUGUUUCCUUGAGGUGAACAAGAUGGAUUUAACAACAAACUCUUACGAAGGAAAAACUGCAUAUAUGAAAAGAGACCUCUCUUUGGAACUGAACUCUCCGGGCAAGCUGGUGCAAUCCACACCCUUCCCCGGCAGUCCUGCGUCCCCACGCUUGAUGCACCGUGGGGCCGCGGCUCCACGGGAUGUCGGGCAGAGAGUUGCGGGGACGACCAGGCCGACUGGUUCCGUGGUCUACCCCGGAGUGAAAGUUAAAAAUCCAGUCAAGGAACAACUGCUGAGAUUACGGCAACAGAAACAACAGCUCCUUCAAAACAGAACGACUGAAGACCUUCCAGAGAGUGAAAACCAACGCCGUUUGUGUAAUGGGAAGCGGCAAACUGACAUGCUCAGCCACAUAGACAUUCCUCCAUGCAAACGUCAAUCCAAGGAGGGUCAAUCCUGGGAGCCGAGCGAACAGAUACCUGAAGAUGUGAUCAACCUCAUCAUUGAACACCAGCCCCAUUCUGCUUGUUCCGACUUCGUAUCGCCUCCUUGCACUAAGUCGACGCCCAGGUCCAUGCUGAGCGAAAGCCAAGUUUCAUUUUCAUAUACAAAGCAUGAUGUUCCCCAUGAG